Molecule: ribosomal RNA, 253 nt
Filed under: uncultured bacterium
Lineage: Bacteria
Description: partial 16S ribosomal RNA
Rfam family: Bacterial small subunit ribosomal RNA
Source: RNAcentral
UACGGAGGGGGCUAGCGUUGUCCGAAGUUACUGGGCGUAAAGCGCGCGUAGGCGGGUUGGUAAGUCCGCUGUGAAAGCCCGGAGCUCAACUCCGGAGGGUCGGUGGAUACUGCCAGUCUUGAAGGUGCUAGGGGGAGAUGGAAUUACCGGUGUAGCGGUGAAAUGCGUAGAUAUCGAUAGGAACACCAGUGGCGAAGGCGGUCUCCUGGGGCAUUCUUGACGCUGAGGCGCGAAAGCUGGGGGAGCGAACGGG